Molecule: ribosomal RNA, 956 nt
Filed under: uncultured bacterium
Lineage: Bacteria
Description: bacterial SSU rRNA
Rfam family: Bacterial small subunit ribosomal RNA
Source: RNAcentral
CAUGCAAGUCGAGGGGCAGCAUGGUCUUAGCUUGCUAAGGCUGAUGGCGACCGGCGCACGGGUGAGUAACACGUAUCCAACCUGCCGUCUACUCUUGGCCAGCCUUCUGAAAGGAAGAUUAAUCCAGGAUGGGAUCAUGAGUUCACAUGUCCGCAUGAUUAAAGGUAUUUUCCGGUAGACGAUGGGGAUGCGUUCCAUUAGAUAGUAGGCGGGGUAACGGCCCACCUAGUCAACGAUGGAUAGGGGUUCUGAGAGGAAGGUCCCCCACAUUGGAACUGAGACACGGUCCAAACUCCUACGGGAGGCAGCAGUGAGGAAUAUUGGUCAAUGGGCGAUGGCCUGAACCAGCCAAGUAGCGUGAAGGAUGACUGCCCUAUGGGUUGUAAACUUCUUUUAUAAAGGAAUAAAGUCGGGUAUGCAUACCCGUUUGCAUGUACUUUAUGAAUAAGGAUCGGCUAACUCCGUGCCAGCAGCCGCGGUAAUACGGAGGAUCCGAGCGUUAUCCGGAUUUAUUGGGUUUAAAGGGAGCGUAGAUGGAUGUUUAAGUCAGUUGUGAAAGUUUGCGGCUCAACCGUAAAAUUGCAGUUGAUACUGGAUGUCUUGAGUGCAGUUGAGGCAGGCGGAAUUCGUGGUGUAGCGGUGAAAUGCUUAGAUAUCACGAAGAACUCCGAUUGCGAAGGCAGCCUGCUAGGCUGCAACUGACAUUGAGGCUCGAAAGUGUGGGUAUCAAACAGGAUUAGAUACCCUGGUAGUCCACACGGUAAACGAUGAAUACUCGCUGUUUGCGAUAUACGGCAAGCGGCCAAGCGAAAGCGUUAAGUAUUCCACCUGGGGAGUACGCCGGCAACGGUGAAACUCAAAGGAAUUGACGGGGGCCCGCACAAGCGGAGGAACAUGUGGUUUAAUUCGAUGAUACGCGAGGAACCUUACCCGGGCUUAAAUUGCACUCGAAUGAU